CUCAGCUGAUCUGUGGCUUAGGUAGUUUCAUGUUGUUGGGAUUGAGUUUGGACUCGGCAACAAGAAACUGCCUGAGUUACAGCAGUCGGU
Molecule: microRNA precursor, 90 nt
Filed under: Ailuropoda melanoleuca (giant panda)
Lineage: Eukaryota; Metazoa; Chordata; Mammalia; Carnivora; Ursidae
Description: mir-196
Rfam family: mir-196 microRNA precursor family (bases 10-83)
About the family: In many species the miRNA appears to be expressed from intergenic regions in HOX gene clusters. The hairpin precursors (represented here) are predicted based on base pairing and cross-species conservation -- their extents are not known. In this case the mature sequence is excised from the 5' arm of the hairpin.
Source: RNAcentral